Molecule: non-coding RNA, 28 nt
Filed under: Arabidopsis thaliana (thale cress)
Lineage: Eukaryota; Viridiplantae; Streptophyta; Magnoliopsida; Brassicales; Brassicaceae
Also listed under: 1 other name
Source: RNAcentral
AACCACAGCCAAGGGAACGGGCUUGGCA